This is a long non-coding RNA of Talpa occidentalis (Iberian mole), 613 nucleotides long. RefSeq lists it as uncharacterized. The record is from RefSeq and is a predicted model, not a curated record. Lineage: Eukaryota; Metazoa; Chordata; Mammalia; Eulipotyphla; Talpidae. The transcript has 6 exons.
GGAAGGGAAGGGCGGAAGGCUGUGAGAACAGACGAGGCUCAAUUCCCCUUCUCUAUGAAAACUGAUGCCACCAUUGCUAAAUGACGGACAGACUGCAAGAUACAUAUUUCCUUCCUGCCUCCCUGUGGGCUAUCUGCGCUGAGAGGAGAGACUGAGGCUCAAAGAAGAGAAAUCACAAGCCCAAGGUCAUGCAACUGGCCCAGCAGAGCUGGAAUGUCCACCCUACAGCCUUGUUCAUGGCCAUUCUGCCUGCCGCAUCCUCCCAGCCACCCAGAGUAUUAGAAAGCGGAAGUUUUGAGCUGUGGAAACCCAAUUCCAAAUUUAGGGAACUGACUCAAGAUACCUCCAAGGAGUGCCCUCCAGUCCUGCAAGCUCAGGGAGCUCAUCUGAACCCUGAUCGGAGGAAGGGAGGACAGCAGUCUGCAGUCUCUGCAAACCCAGAGCUGGCCAGGGAAGACAGGCAGACAGUCACCAUAGCAACCCUGGGCAUCUGGCAGGGGGCAGCCUGGACCCCGCAGAAGCCACCCAGGUUUGGAGGAGGGCAGACUGGAGUUGCCAGCGGAGGGGCCAGGCCAGAAGCUGGUUCUGAAGGUAGACAGGCCUGAGGACAGAG